This 83-nucleotide transfer RNA is filed under the name Thermoplasmatales archaeon BRNA1. It matches the Rfam family "tRNA". Rfam says of the family: Transfer RNA (tRNA) molecules are approximately 80 nucleotides in length. The record is from Rfam by way of RNAcentral. Lineage: Archaea; Methanobacteriati; Thermoplasmatota; Thermoplasmata; Thermoplasmatales.
GCGGAAGUGGCUCAGUGGACUACUACGCCGGUCUUGAAAACCGGCGGCGAUUCGCCUCGGGAGUUCGAAUCUCCCCUUCCGCG